RNAcentral lists this ribosomal RNA (799 nucleotides) under Pseudarthrobacter oxydans. RNAcentral describes it as "bacterial SSU rRNA". It matches the Rfam family "Bacterial small subunit ribosomal RNA", at positions 56 to 866 of the family's 1533-position model. The record is from RNAcentral. Lineage: Bacteria; Bacillati; Actinomycetota; Actinomycetes; Micrococcales; Micrococcaceae.
UGCAGUCGAACGAUGAUCCGGUGCUUGCACCGGGGAUUAGUGGCGAACGGGUGAGUAACACGUGAGUAACCUGCCCUUAACUCUGGGAUAAGCCUGGGAAACUGGGUCUAAUACCGGAUAUGACUCCUCAUCGCAUGGUGGGGGGUGGAAAGCUUUUUGUGGUUUUGGAUGGACUCGCGGCCUAUCAGCUUGUUGGUGAGGUAAUGGCUUACCAAGGCGACGACGGGUAGCCGGCCUGAGAGGGUGACCGGCCACACUGGGACUGAGACACGGCCCAGACUCCUACGGGAGGCAGCAGUGGGGAAUAUUGCACAAUGGGCGCAAGCCUGAUGCAGCGACGCCGCGUGAGGGAUGACGGCCUUCGGGUUGUAAACCUCUUUCAGUAGGGAAGAAGCGAAAGUGACGGUACCUGCAGAAGAAGCGCCGGCUAACUACGUGCCAGCAGCCGCGGUAAUACGUAGGGCGCAAGCGUUAUCCGGAAUUAUUGGGCGUAAAGAGCUCGUAGGCGGUUUGUCGCGUCUGCCGUGAAAGUCCGGGGCUCAACUCCGGAUCUGCGGUGGGUACGGGCAGACUAGAGUGAUGUAGGGGAGACUGGAAUUCCUGGUGUAGCGGUGAAAUGCGCAGAUAUCAGGAGGAACACCGAUGGCGAAGGCAGGUCUCUGGGCAUUAACUGACGCUGAGGAGCGAAAGCAUGGGGAGCGAACAGGAUUAGAUACCCUGGUAGUCCAUGCCGUAAACGUUGGGCACUAGGUGUGGGGGACAUUCCACGUUUUCCGCGCCGUAGCUAACGCAUUAAGUG